Brassica napus (rape) is the source of this 2254-nucleotide RNA transcript. It is a transcript of the gene named DEAD-box ATP-dependent RNA helicase 35, with no coding region annotated. Lineage: Eukaryota; Viridiplantae; Streptophyta; Magnoliopsida; Brassicales; Brassicaceae. The transcript has 4 exons. The record is from RefSeq and is a predicted model, not a curated record.
CCCGGGUCGGUCAGUUUCCCCCGACUAUUUUAGGAUUCCAGAGAGAGAGAGAGAUCUUGCUUCUGCUACUUGAUUAGGUUUUCGUUUCCAUCAAAUCAUGGAAUUAGACGAUGAUUACGUGGAGUAUGUUCCAGUUGCGAAGCGUAGAGCCAUGGAAGAGCAAAAGAUUCUUCAACGGAAGGGGGGCAAAGUGUUGGAGGUGGAGGAAGAAGCUUCGGAGAAGGAGAAGCUCGCCGAAUCCAAACCUAGCUUGCUCGUCCAAGCAACUCAGCUCAAGCGUGACGUACCCGAAGUCAGUGCCACCGAGCAAAUCAUCCUGCAAGAGAAGGAGAUGAUGGAGCACUUAUCUGAUAAGAAGACGCUCAUGUCUGUUCGUGAGUUAGCCAAAGGUAUCACUUACACAGAGCCUCUCUCAACAGGUUGGAAACCUCCUUUGCGUAUUAGGAAGAUGUCUAGCAAGCAGAUGGAUUUGAUUAGGAAGCAAUGGCAUAUCAUUGUUAGCGGUGAAGACAUUCCUCCUCCCAUCAAGAGCUUCGAGGAUAUGAAGUUUGAGAAACCUAUUUUGGAAACUCUCAGGGAGAAGGGGAUUGUGCAGCCCACUCCUAUUCAAGUUCAGGGUCUUCCUGUGAUUUUGUCUGGGAGAGAUAUGAUUGGGAUUGCCUUCACUGGCUCUGGGAAGACUAUGGUUUUCGUGCUUCCUAUGAUUAUGAUUGCUCUCCAGGAGGAGAUGAUGAUGCCUAUUGGUCCUGGAGAAGGCCCCAUUGGCCUUAUUGUUUGCCCUUCUAGAGAGCUUGCUAGGCAGACUUACGAAGUUGUUGAACAGUUUGUGGCUCCUUUGGUCAAGGCUGGCUUCGCGCCUUUGAGGUCUUUGCUAUGCAUUGGAGGUGUCGAUAUGAGGUCCCAGUUGGAUGUUGUCAAGAGAGGUGUUCAUAUUGUUGUUGCUACCCCUGGGAGGUUGAAGGAUUUGCUCGCCAAGAAAAAGAUGAACUUAGAUGCCUGCAGGUACCUGACGCUGGAUGAGGCAGAUAGGUUGGUUGAUUUGGGUUUCGAAGAUGACAUUAGGGAAGUCUUUGACCAUUUCAAGUCUCAGCGUCAAACACUUCUCUUCUCUGCCACAAUGCCUACCAAAAUUCAAAUAUUUGCCAGAAGUGCUCUGGUGAAACCUGUGACAGUUAACGUAGGAAGAGCCGGAGCUGCGAAUCUCGAUGUCAUCCAGGAGGUUGAAUACGUCAAACAAGAAGCAAAGAUUGUUUACCUCCUCGAGUGCCUGCAGAAGACCUCUCCGCCGGUUUUAAUUUUCUGUGAGAACAAGGCUGAUGUUGAUGAUAUCCACGAGUACUUGUUACUGAAAGGAGUGGAAGCUGUUGCUAUACACGGGGGAAAAGAUCAGGAGGACAGAGAGUACGCCAUCUCUUCGUUCAAAGCUGGGAAGAAAGACGUCUUGGUCGCGACUGACGUUGCUUCCAAAGGGUUAGACUUCCCUGAUAUUCAGCACGUCAUAAACUACGACAUGCCUGCGGAGAUUGAGAACUAUGUGCACAGGAUAGGAAGAACAGGUCGGUGUGGGAAAACAGGGAUAGCAACUACGUUUAUAAACAAGAACCAAAGCGAGACCACGCUGCUUGAUCUGAAACACUUGCUGCAAGAAGCUAAACAGAGGAUUCCACCUGUCCUUGCUGAGCUGAAGGAUCCGAUGGAGGAAGCAGAGAAUAUUGCUAAUGCAAGUGGUGUCAAGGGUUGUGCUUACUGUGGGGGUCUGGGACAUCGUAUUAGAGACUGUCCGAAACUGGAGCAGCAGAAGAGUGUGGCCAUAUCUAACUCUAGGAAAGACUACUUCGGCUCUGGUGGAUACAGAGGAGAGAUUUAAUCUGUAUUCCAAUCUUCUUACAAGAAUCCCUUUUGCAAGCUGUCACUUAAUGUCCAUGCUGGAGAUGGUAAAAAGUGAAAAGCUUAAAGAUAUGUAUGUCCAUACGGUAAAUUUAAACAGGAGGUGAAGCAAAAUCGGAAAUAGAAUGCAGUAAGAUCUGCCGUCCCCACUGCCAGCGCUCAUCACCAGCGUCAGAAUGUGCAGCUUGUCGUACAGAAUGUUACAAGUUGCCACCGGUUGCAAUGAGAGGCAGGAACCGCCGCAUGGUUUCAGAAAAACAACAAUAGAUCUUUCUUGUUUUGAUUUAUAUUAUAUACAAUAACACAUGGUGACUACACAUGUAAGGAUCCAAACCUUAUAAUGCUUAUAUGCAACGGCCUAAUAAGA